This 512-nucleotide long non-coding RNA is filed under the name Rattus norvegicus (Norway rat). RNAcentral describes it as "long non-coding RNA NONRATT009045". The record is from RNAcentral. Lineage: Eukaryota; Metazoa; Chordata; Mammalia; Rodentia; Muridae.
CCUGCUUCCUGCUGAGGUUUCCUAUCAGUUGGAUUAGACAGAGGCCACGUUCUUUUCUCCCCACAGGGGGUGUAAAGCUUGGUCUGGGAGACUUCAUCUUCUACAGCGUUCUGGUGGGCAAGGCAGCAGCCACAGGCUUGCCCGUCAGAGCAUCUGUGGCACCCGCAGGUGGGAUGCUGGGCCAACAAGCCUAUCUUCAGGGAUGAGGUCACGUGUGUGGAUCAGGUUGGAGAGGACGCAGGCCCCAUCCAGGUCUGUAAUCAAUCCUUCAGGGCUGAGCAGGAGGAACAUGUGCGUCAGUGGGGACCAGGAGGCACGGUCAGGAAGGACGCUAAGCACCAACACCCUGACCAGAGGACAAAAGCCAGUUUGUCGUCAUGAAUGCCCCCAGUGCUUUGUUUGUGAUGUCUGUUACCUUUAGUAUCUUAGAAGCUGAGUCCUGUUCUUAUUUCUGCAGUGGACUGCUGGGAAGUGGCUUAAUGACAAUACCAAUACAUAGAUGUCCCUGCUGG